This 468-nucleotide ribosomal RNA is filed under the name uncultured bacterium. Its description in RNAcentral is "partial 16S ribosomal RNA". It matches the Rfam family "Bacterial small subunit ribosomal RNA", at positions 28 to 507 of the family's 1533-position model. The record is from RNAcentral.
GAUGAACGCUGGCGGCGUGCUUAACACAUGCGAGUCGAACGGAAAGGCCCAAGCUUGCUUGGGUACUCGAGUGGCGAACGGGUGAGUAACACGUGGGUGAUCUGCCCUGCACUUCGGGAUAAGCCUGGGAAACUGGGUCUAAUACCGGAUAGGACGAUGGUUUGGAUGCCAUUGUGGAAAGUUUUUUCGGUGUGGGAUGAGCUCGCGGCCUAUCAGCUUGUUGGUGGGGUAAUGGCCUACCAAGGCGUCGACGGGUAGCCGGCCUGAGAGGGUGUACGGCCACAUUGGGACGGAGAUACGGCCCAGACUCCUACGGGAGGCAGCAGUGGGGAAUAUUGCACAAUGGGCGCAAGCCUGAUGCAGCGACGCCGCGUGGGGGAUGACGGCCUUCGGGUUGUAAACUCCUUUCGCUAGGGACGAAGCGUUUUUGUGACGGUACCUGGAGAAGAAGCACCGGCUAACUACGUG